UACGUAGGGUGCGAGCGUUGUCCGGAAUUACUGGGCGUAAAGAGCUCGUAGGUGGUUUGUCGCGUUGUUCGUGAAAACCGGGGGCUUAACCCUCGGCGUGCGGGCGAUACGGGCAGACUUGAGUACUGCAGGGGAGACUGGAAUUCCUGGUGUAGCGGUGGAAUGCGCAGAUAUCAGGAGGAACACCGGUGGCGAAGGCGGGUCUCUGGGCCGAUACUGACGCUGAGGAGCGAAAGCAUGGGUAGCGAACAGA
This 253-nucleotide ribosomal RNA is filed under the name uncultured bacterium. Its description in RNAcentral is "partial 16S ribosomal RNA". It matches the Rfam family "Bacterial small subunit ribosomal RNA", at positions 524 to 776 of the family's 1533-position model. The record is from RNAcentral.